This is a long non-coding RNA of Sapajus apella (tufted capuchin), 1026 nucleotides long. RefSeq lists it as uncharacterized. The record is from RefSeq and is a predicted model, not a curated record. NCBI's taxonomy places the organism in Eukaryota, Metazoa, Chordata, Mammalia, Primates, Cebidae. The transcript has 2 exons.
CGGGCGGGAGGCACCGCGGCGAGGCGUAAACAAGCUGGCGGCGGCUGGGUGUGGUUGGAGCGCCUUCCCGCUUGCCGCUGGAGUUGUUUCUGCCCUUCGCGCGCCUGGCGCCCCCUCGAGUGUCCCUGUGGGCGGCUACAGAGCGGCGAUCCUGUUUCCCGAGGAGCCCGCGUGGGUGAAGGGCCUGCUUGGGAGCCUUAGGGGAGUUGCAGCUCACCAGGGAAGGGGCGGAAAGCCGGGGGUCAGGGCAGCCUCCUUCCUGGGCUGAGCGUUUGCAGAAGCCCGCCUCCGGGAUUGCGGGGGACCCCCCUGGCUUCUGCCUUCAAGUAGCUCACACUUCACACCUAGUCAUGACGUCUAGAGAAAACCAGCCCUAGUAGGAGGCAGCUUUCAAAUCUGAACCCCUUGUGGCGUUCCCUGCCGAAACAAAGCUUGAAGCCGUCUAAGCUUCAGUUUCUUGACAUGGGCGCAAUGACAUUUGUGACGUGAGGAAUCAAAGAGAUGAAGUAUAGACAGCGUUGAGCCCAGAGCCCUGCGCCUAGGAGAUGCUCUCUCGCUAGGUAGGUGGCCUUUGUCGCGAGGCUGGAUGUGAUGAGCUCCAGCACGAACAGGAAGCGCUGUGAGAGGAGGCACAGUGCCAUGAAGUCGAACUAUGGGAUCUGAAAGGCAUUUUGAAGGAGUGGGCAUCAGGCUGGGUUUUAAAGGAAAGGGUCAUUAAACUGGGAUGAGGAAGCUGUGGCCUCUCCCUUCCUCUGGCCGACAGCAAGCUAUGUGACAAGUUGGGUUAAAGAGUGAAAGAGACAGAGACAGAGAUGGAAAGAGAAAUUCAUGCUCCUAUCUCUUUAUUUCCGGAGUCCCUGAAGCCAGCUUUGCCCUGGCCUUCCAAGUUCCGUGAAGCAAUAACUAUUUUGGCCAGUGCUAGUUUCACUGGAUUUCUGUUCCUCAUAAACAAAAGGCCUGGAUGUAGUGGGAUUCAGAGACCUUUGGAAGGACACCACCAGUCAAAAUACUGUUCAUCCACUUGAA